GCCGAGGUGGUGGAAUUGGUAGACACGCUAUCUUGAGGGGGUAGUGCCCUAGUGGUGUGCGGGUUCGAGUCCCGCCCUCGGCACCA
Molecule: transfer RNA, 86 nt
Filed under: Desulfovibrio sp.
Lineage: Bacteria; Pseudomonadati; Thermodesulfobacteriota; Desulfovibrionia; Desulfovibrionales; Desulfovibrionaceae
Description: tRNA-Leu
Rfam family: tRNA
About the family: Transfer RNA (tRNA) molecules are approximately 80 nucleotides in length.
Source: RNAcentral